RNAcentral lists this ribosomal RNA (681 nucleotides) under uncultured Mortierella. RNAcentral's name for it is "eukaryotic LSU rRNA". It matches the Rfam family "Eukaryotic large subunit ribosomal RNA", at positions 83 to 620 of the family's 3401-position model. Lineage: Eukaryota; Fungi; Mortierellomycota; Mortierellomycetes; Mortierellales; Mortierellaceae. The record is from RNAcentral.
GUAACGGCGAGUGAAGCGGGAACAGUCCAAAUUUUAAAUCUGGGACCCUCGGUCUCCGAAUUGUAGUUUACAGACGCGGAUCGUGAACAGUGCAUCGCCGUGCAAGUCCCCUGGAACGGGGCAUCGCGGAGGGUGAGAAUCCCGUGGCCCGGGGGUGCGCUGGUCGCUGGAGCUGCGUCGACGAGUCGAGUUGUUUGGGAAUGCAGCUCAAGACGGGUGGUAAAUUCCAUCCAAGACUAAAUAUUGGCAAGAGACCGAUAGCGAACAAGUACUGUGAAGGAAAGAUGAAAAGCACCUCGAAAAGGGAGUUAAAUAGUGCGUGAAAUUGUUAAAAGGGAAACGCUUGAAACCAGUCAUGUAGUUGGAAAAUCAGUGUUCAAUUGGGGGGAAUGGGAGAGGUGUGGACCGCAAGGCUGCUCUUUUCUAUAUCUCUUUUGUUGGGCAUGCACUUUUUCUUCCGCAGGUCAACAUCAGUUUCUUCUGCUGGACAAAACUCUUGAGAAGGUAGCAGCUUAGGCUGUGUUAUAGCUCUGGAGCGAUACAGUGGAGGAGACUGAGGUUUUCGCAGCAUGUGCUCUCGGGCAAGGCUGAUUGGGUGCUAUGAGAUCGUUCAGGGUACAAUACAUGUAUUUUGCUCUGUGUCUUUUUUAUACUCGCCCAAUUGGGCUCUUCCAUGCUUAG